AGGAGGCAAGGGGAGAGAGAAGGGGAAGAAAGACAAGGACAAAGCCUGAGAGUUUACAUGUUAUUCUAAUUUCCCCGGAGGUGUUCAAGAAACAUUUAGAUAUAGAGUUGAGAGACAUGGUUUAGUGGGGUUAUUGGUGGUAGGUGGAUGGUUGGACUGGAUGAUCUUGUAGGUCUUUUCCAACCUAGCUAAUUCUAUGAUUCNGGGGGUGGCAUAGGGGCAGGUUGGGGGGCAGCAGGGCGGGGGCUGGGCUGGCUGUGCCAUGGGAGGGGAGGGAGGAGCAGGAGGGAGGUGGAAGGGGGGUCUCUGUCUCAGCAGGGGCAGAAGGGCUGUGCUGGAUGCCCAGGGAAGAUGUGGAGGAAAACGCCGGAUCUCAGAGAAGAGAAGCGGGAGCUGCAGGAGAGCCCCAGGAGGAAGGGCAGUGCCCCAGAGGCUCCGUGGGCUGGAGCUCCAGACGCGCUCUGUGCUGCGGCAGAGGCAGGAGACCCUGGGAAAACUGCGGGCAGUGCUGCAGAAGGAGAGGAUGGCGGCACUCUGGCAGCUGCAGGAGAACCUGGAGAAGGAGCACUGUCACCUCAAGGAGCUGGCAGCCCCAGAAGCCCCGAAGGAGCCACUGACUGCAGCGAGAGCCCUGUGGGAGGCAGAGACUUGUGUGUGGGACCCAGCCCAGCCACCCCCUCCUUCCAAACCAGGGUUGAGCCAUGCCACAGGUGCACAGAGAUGGGGCAAGUGCCAGUGCCACCGCUCUGUCUCCUCCCUGUCUCCAAGCACUGUGCCCGGCCUCCAGCAGCCCCACCAUGGGGUCCUGCACCACAUCCUGCGUUGCCUGUGGGAGCUGCAGGUGGAGGACCUCGGUGUGCUGGGAGCAGAGCUGGGCACCACGGCAAGCAUGGAGGAGAAUGCCCAAGGAGAGUUUCUCUGCGUGCGAGGGGGGAAAUGAGAAUUUUGUGCAGUACUGAUUGCUGCAUUUCCUUUCAGGAGGAGAGAGGGAGUGAGAAUGGAAAUCUUUGUCUGCUUUCUUCCCAAUCAAAAUAAAAGCGUUCCUCAUUAUGUUUUUCUGGACUGGGGAGAUUUCUGAAUUUACUUAUGACACGCAGCCCAGUUUAUAAGCUCCCUUUAGGUACUGGAAGGCCACAGUGAGGUCUUCCCAGAGCCUUCUCUUCACCAGGAUACCCUAAAAUGUGGUAUUUCUACUUCACCUCAUGCUCAGAAGCUUUGGGAUGCUGAUGCAACCUUGACAGCACCCCGUGCAAAGCAUGUUCCUAUGGAAGGCAAUGGAAGACCCUUGAAACAGAUGUUGUUUAACAUCCCUAAAACUGGAUGAAAUACCAAGAAGCAAAUAUCUGUGCCAGAAAUUAUGAACUGGGAUAUAGAUAUAAAAAAAAAAAAAAAAAAGAUGAUAUUUUUAUAAAUAGUAUGGGAAGUUCUGCUGGAGCAACACGUAAUUCAUAGAAACAGCCCUCUGGUACAAGUCACUAUUCAAACACUGAUGGAUGAGAGCUGCUCAUCUCCCCAAGGAAAACAAGAAUUUCAGUCUGGGAAAGCAAAGCUACUUGUACUGUGGUAAUGGUGACCGUGAUCAUAUGGCAAGGGUGCCUGGGACUGAGUUGGUAACAGUAAAGGACUGAGGGUGGUUUUGGGAGACUCUUAUAUCAAGAAAACUGGGAAAUGGUUAUCUCCAUACAGUGUAAUUGUACCUAGAAAAUUAAUGAAAUGGAAUAGAGUGUAAUGAAAUGGGACAGAAUGGAAUGGAACAGAAUGGAAGAGAAAGAAAAGAGGAGAGGAGAAUAAGAGGAGAGGAGAAAGAAAAGGUAGGGAGGGGUGGGGAGGGGAGGGAAGGGAAGGGAAAGGAAGGGAGGAGAAGAGAAGAGAAGAGGAGGGGAGGGGAGGGGAGGGGAGGGAAGGGAAGGGAAGGGAAGGGAAGGGAAGGGAAGGGAAGGGAAACGGAAAAGAGGAUGUCAUUAUCCCUUCACAGGCAAUGCAUGGAGUGGUGGGGAGGAUGGUGGAAGAGUGU
Molecule: long non-coding RNA, 2014 nt
Filed under: Numida meleagris (helmeted guineafowl)
Lineage: Eukaryota; Metazoa; Chordata; Aves; Galliformes; Numididae
Description: lncRNA (ENSNMEG00000002524.1)
Source: RNAcentral